AAGGAGUUAGCUUAAUUAGAAGAGUGCUUGGAUUCCGAGUCUAAGAGACGUAGGUGCAAUUCCUACACUCCUUGCCA
This 77-nucleotide transfer RNA is filed under the name Candidatus Altimarinota bacterium. RNAcentral describes it as "tRNA-Arg". It matches the Rfam family "tRNA". From Rfam's summary of the family: Transfer RNA (tRNA) molecules are approximately 80 nucleotides in length. Their secondary structure includes four short double-helical elements and three loops (D, anti-codon, and T loops). Further hydrogen bonds mediate the characteristic L-shaped molecular structure. tRNAs have two regions of fundamental functional importance: the anti-codon, which is responsible for specific mRNA codon recognition, and the 3' end, to which the tRNAs corresponding amino acid is attached (by aminoacyl-tRNA synthetases). tRNAs cope with the degeneracy of the genetic code in two manners: having more than one tRNA (with a specific anti-codon) for a particular amino acid; and 'wobble' base-pairing, i.e. permitting non-standard base-pairing at the 3rd anti-codon position. Lineage: Bacteria; Candidatus Altimarinota. The record is from RNAcentral.